UAAUACGUAGGAGGCGAGCGUUAUCCGGAUUUACUGGGCGUAAAGCGGGCGCAGGCGGUUUUUUAAGUCGAAUGUAAAAUCUCCCGGCUUAACUGGGAGUGACCAUUCGAUACUGUUGGGCUAGAGGGCAGCAGAAGGAGGUGGAAUCCCCGGUGUAGUGGUGAAAUGCGUAGAUAUCGGGAGGAACACCAGUGGCGAAGGCGGCCUCCUAGGCUGUUUCUGACGCUGAGGCCCGAAAGCGUGGGGAGCGAACAGGAUUAGAUACCCUGGUAGUCCACGCCGUAAACUAUGGACACUAGGUAUAGGGAGUAUCGACCCUCUCUGUGCCGAAGUUAACGCAUUAAGUGUCCCGCCUGGGGAGUACGGCCGCAAGGCUA
Molecule: ribosomal RNA, 377 nt
Filed under: uncultured bacterium
Lineage: Bacteria
Description: bacterial SSU rRNA
Rfam family: Bacterial small subunit ribosomal RNA
Source: RNAcentral